UUCCUCCAACUCCACCGAUCGUUGAGCUUCACAUUUUCCCACACCUCCAUCUCCAAAAACUUUGAAGGCAACUUUGGGAGCGAAAAAAGCUAUUGCAAGAGCCAAUAUUUCAUUAUUUCAGCUGAAGAACAGUUGCAGAUUCUGGACGAAAUUGGAAUCGAAGCCAAGCGAGCGUAAGACGCAAUCGAGGUACAGACGCACCCGGUGAUACGCCGCCAGUCGAGGGCAUAAAUUCUGCUAUUUUGGAGAGCUCCUUUGAUCCGGAGCGUGUACUUUUGGUAUAUACCUUCUGACAUCUGUAUAUUCUGUAUGUAUGAAAAUUCUGGGUACGGCGGGGCCCUGUCCCGUCAUCUGAUGUUGUAUGUCUGUUAGAGGCCUGUAGAUA
This is a long non-coding RNA of Lycium barbarum (goji berry), 385 nucleotides long. RefSeq lists it as uncharacterized. The record is from RefSeq and is a predicted model, not a curated record. Lineage: Eukaryota; Viridiplantae; Streptophyta; Magnoliopsida; Solanales; Solanaceae. The transcript has 3 exons.